RNAcentral lists this ribosomal RNA (282 nucleotides) under uncultured bacterium. Its description in RNAcentral is "partial 16S ribosomal RNA". It matches the Rfam family "Bacterial small subunit ribosomal RNA", at positions 28 to 290 of the family's 1533-position model. The record is from RNAcentral.
GACGAACGCUGGCGGCGUGCUUAACACAUGCAAGUCGAGCGGUAAGGCCCUUUCGGGGUACGACGAGCGGCGAACGGGUAGGAGUAACAACGUGGGUGGACCUCGCCCUCCAGCUCUGGGAGUAAGACCUCGGGAAACCGGGGUACCGUAAUAACCGGAGUAUGACUCCAUGACGCAUGUUGUGGGGUGGGAAAGACCUUGUGCGGCUGAGGAUGGGCCCGGCCGGCCGUAUCAGCUUGUUGGUGGGGUGGANGGCCUACCAAGGCGACGACGGGUAGCCGG